GGGGCCAUAGCUCAGCUGGGAGAGCGCUACGCUGGCAGCGUAGAGGUCGACGGUUCGAUCCCGUCUGGCUCCACCA
RNAcentral lists this transfer RNA (76 nucleotides) under Pseudomonadota bacterium. Its description in RNAcentral is "Proteobacteria bacterium tRNA-Ala". It matches the Rfam family "tRNA". From Rfam's summary of the family: Transfer RNA (tRNA) molecules are approximately 80 nucleotides in length. Their secondary structure includes four short double-helical elements and three loops (D, anti-codon, and T loops). The record is from RNAcentral. Lineage: Bacteria; Pseudomonadati; Pseudomonadota. RNAcentral also lists the same sequence under 1 other name.